UUUUUUUGCCAUGAAAUUCCCUGAUUUUUUUUAAUGGGAAAAACACAGAAUAUGGUAUAUUUCCAAGAAUGAGGUGCAAAGUUAAAUAUUUUUGAUAAAGAAAUAAAAGCCUUAACCAUGUAAAUAAUUGAUACAAAUAUUGAUUUUAAUGCAUUAUAAUUUUUGGCAGAAUUACAUAUUUUUAUUUCAAAUCGCUCGGCCCUCCUUCAAAAUAAAAGCGUGUUCAAACGAUCCUGAUGGAGUUGAAGCUAAAACACGUCCUGCAGUGCAGCAUCUACACCGAGCACAGGAAACAUCUAUACUGAUCUGGUGUAGAGACAGAAACUGCAGGAGGAAACCAAAAAUAAAAGCUGGAACUUCUUCACACCAUCAGAGGAUAUAAGAGGAUGAAGUGGUAACAUCAGACAGCAGGGGGCAGCAGCACGCCACCGCAGUGUCUGAAAAGAAACAGAAGAAUCCACAGAGCUGAGUCACAUCUGUGGGAUUUAUUUCUGGACCUAAAAGGUAAACAUACUGAACUGAUGAUGUGAAAUUAAAUCAGAUAUAACGAGAAUAUUCACUCAUGUCAGUGUUAGGGUUUUAGUUCUUAUUGUGUUUUUAUUUUUCAGGAGGUCGGAGCUUCGACAGAUUUCAGUUUGUCGUUUCAACAAUCCUGUUCAAACCUCGAUCAGGUCCAGAGAGGAGAAACUGUUCAGCUCACUUCACAAGAAUCCAGAUCCUGUCCCGGUAAAGGAAAGAGCAGAGACCUGAUCCUGGAGGAGGUUUCACAACGAGGAGGAAACUGUCAGAUGGCCUCGGGCUCGUCGAUAUGUAUUUUUAAAACUUGGAGUGAAAGUGUCUCUGAGUGGGUGUGGAGUCAUGUGUACUGCAGCAGGUCUGUCACUAUUGAUUUAAAGGUCUGACUGAAACAGAUCAAUAAUUCUCAACUUGGAGUAUCUGGUUCUGAAACCGGUCUCUGAGUCCGUGAAGCUGGACUCCCUUCACCCACUGAAAAUACAGUUUUUGUAUCAAAACUGAAAAAUCACAUUAAUUAAAUCUUUUUUAUAAACCAUUUCCCUCUCUCCGGUGGAAACCAGUCCACCUCUGCUUCAGGGCCUGUGUCCACUGACAGCUUCUGUUUGUAGAGUCAGGGCCUGUCUUCAGGUGCAGAUCUUAGUUUUGUUCUUUCCACCGGAUUCACAGACUCACUUCCUGUCCUGACUUCACUUAAAUCAGUAAAAGUGCUGCUGACGACUUUAGUGGCCCAGGUGAGCAGCAGAAAAACUGCUGUCAGUGGACACAGGCCCUUACACUGACCAGUUUUUGUCUGACUUUAAUCAGCAGAGACACCCUCCCCCACAGGAAAUACCUCACAUUUAAUUUACCACAAUAAAAUCAACGUUAUCAUGUCAUCUCUUUUUCUUAAUCCACGUUCGGGAGUGUUUGUAGAAAAACCUUCAGCUGCUGCUGUGAGAGCAAAUAAAUCUGAGCAGCUUGAAGUGAUCCUGAUCAAUUCAGCUAAGACCCAAUUUUCAGUCCGGGUAAACAUGCCGAGCUCAGGAGAUCGGAAACGAGCGAUUAGAUUACUCUGAAAUUUAAUUUGGUUUUCAAAAGGCGAGACUUGAGACGAGUUAUUGGGACGUUUACCGGUUGAUAACUGAGUGUUUGAAAGAUCAUUCGGACUUUUAUUUCUCUAAUAAUAAAAAGACUGAAAUACUGAUGAGAAAACUUUUACACUUUAAAAUACGACGAUCAUUUUAAAACUGAAAUAAACAAAACUUAAAUCUUUGCAAUCAGCGUGAGCUCGAUGUGGGUAAGCUAACUCCAAAAAUGUGAGGAUAAAGAGACUUACCCGGGAUCCAGCGAUCGUGUUCAGACGGUGUUUUUUUCCUGCUUAAAUAAACGUCCGAAUUUCCUCGUUUACAGUCUGGGUCCUGCUUCAGAAGUUUCCGAUCAGAGUCUGAAAUCAUCAAACAUUCAGCAGGUGCUUCUUCACCAGAGUCAGGUCUGUGGUUCUUCUGGAGAG
RNAcentral lists this long non-coding RNA (2005 nucleotides) under Xyrichtys novacula (pearly razorfish). Lineage: Eukaryota; Metazoa; Chordata; Actinopteri; Labriformes; Labridae. The record is from RNAcentral.